Molecule: ribosomal RNA, 483 nt
Filed under: uncultured bacterium
Lineage: Bacteria
Description: SSU rRNA
Rfam family: Bacterial small subunit ribosomal RNA
Source: RNAcentral
AGAACGAACGCUGGCGGCAUGCCUAACACAUGCAAGUCGAACGCUUCCGGGGCUUCGGUCGCGGAGGAGUGGCGCACGGGUGAGUAGCGCGUGGGAACCUGCCCUGUUGUGGGGGAUAACCGAGGGAAACUUCGGCUAAUACCGCAUACGCCCCGGGACUUGGUCUUCGGAUUAGGUCUGGGGGGAAAGAUUGAUCGCAGCAGGAGGGGCCCGCGUCGGAUUAGCUGGUUGGUGGGGUAACGGCUCACCAAGGCGAUGAUCCGUAGCUGGUCUGAGAGGAUGAUCAGCCACACUGGGACUGAGACACGGCCCAGACUCCUACGGGAGGCAGCAGUGGGGAAUAUUGGACAAUGGGGGCAACCCUGAUCCAGCAAUGCCGCGUGAGUGAUGAAGGCCUUAGGGUUGUAAAGCUCGUUUUGGCGGGGACGAUGAUGACGGUACCGCAGAAUAACGCCCGGCUAACUUCGCGCCAGCAGCCGCGGU